Long non-coding RNA from Antechinus flavipes (yellow-footed antechinus), 2431 nucleotides. RefSeq lists it as uncharacterized. The record is from RefSeq and is a predicted model, not a curated record. The transcript is spliced from 3 exons. NCBI's taxonomy places the organism in Eukaryota, Metazoa, Chordata, Mammalia, Dasyuromorphia, Dasyuridae.
UUUAGGUUUUAAGAAACUAAUCAAAUUAUCAGAUUUAAGAAUUCAGAAUUUUCAAAGAAAAUUUGUCAAUGUCAAACCAAUGUUUAGAGAAGAAAUUAUUUACAUACACAUUCAAAUCUAAUGUAUGUGUAUUUACAAACCAUAACUAAAAGAUACAGAAGCACAGCUUUUAAAAUUUGGCUCAUACCUUACAGAUUUCCAAUUAAUUCUCUUAUUCAAGAUGGUUAUACCAAAAAAAACUUUAUUAGCUCAUAACUUGAGUUUUCUUCAUAUUGCCUAGCACUUUAGUUAAUAAUAAAAACACGGGAUCUUUUCAGUAAGUACAGUUUUUUCAUCACCUAUAUUUUUGGACACAGCAAUCUCUGAGAAGGCUACUGGUAAUAAAAUCCAGAAUUUGACAUCAUAUGGAUGGAUUUAUCAGCCUGGCAGAUUUUUCUACAUAAUAUAAACUUUAUAGCCACAUUUUUUCUUUUUAUUAAUCUUAAGAAGGGCAACAAAAAGUAGAAGAUAGAAAAGUAGAUUCACAAGAAAGCAUGGAUUCAAGAUGUGACAUAAUGUCAGUGUGUGAUUCUGGGCCAGUCACUUAAUUUCUCAGAGUUUUAGGCAAUUCUCUAACACUCUAAGUUGAAAAGGAGCUAAACUGUUAAAUAUUUCCUCACCUGAGAGUUACCUAAACCUGUGAAAUCUUAGGUCAAAUUCGUAUCCUUACUCAUCUUGCAGAUGAGAUUCUGAAGCAUAGGAAUAUAGCAGCAAAUUACCAGGUUAAAACCCUAUGAGAAUCAAAGAGUGUCAUAAUAUUUACCCAAAGAAACUUAUACAGAAAACUGGCUGAAUGGGUGGUAGGAUUUUCUCUAUUACUUAAGAAUUAAAUUUGGUGUCCCAAUAGUUGGAAGCACAGUCUUUACUAUACAUCUAUCCCUAACUUCUACUAGUCCUUGGGGCAAGUUAUAGUUCAUAGGUACAUUACUGGGUAUGAAAGGUUAAGGUAGUAGGGCUCCUCCAAGGACUAUUUGACUCAUUAGUGCCAUCUGGAGGCAGGAAUUAAAAUCCUCCCGAAUAAGAAGACCAGUUUGGAGGGAAGUGAUUUCAGGUUAGGCAAAAAAUUAACCCCUUGACUUCUUGCAUUUUUGGUUCUCAAACUCUGGCAGAACUCUUGGCCAUGGAAUCAGAUUGGCAUAAAUUUCUUAUUAGUCUCAGACCAGAGAAAAGCACAUCUUUACUCUUUUGAUUUUGCUUAGUCUGAGGCUAUCUUUGUUUUCUUAUCUAAAUACUUUGCCAAUUCUGCCCUAGAUUAAGCCAAUUCUCCCACUCCUUAAUUAACACUAAUCUUGCCAAGAGAAGAAUCUAGGAAUAUCCAUUAAGAUUAUACCAUUAGGAAGUUGUAUAUUGUUCUAUUUCUACAUUCAGUCUUUUGAUUGUAUAAUUUGGUCUCAAGCAGCUUUACCCAACUAGAAGGGAAUACCUUCUGCAAAUAGUGCUUACUAUACAUUCCAGGGGUCCUCAAACUACAGCCCGCGGCCAGAUGCAGCAGCUGAGGACGUUUAUCCCCCUCACCCAGGGCUAUGAAGUUUCUUUAUUUAAAGGUUCACAAAACAAAGUUUUUGUUUUUACUACAGUCCGGCCCUCCAACAGUCUGAGGGACAGUGAACUGGCCCCCUAUUUAAAAAGUUUGAAAUGCUAAUCACUUUACAAUUAUUAUCUCAUUUGAUCCUUAAAGCAAUCCUGUGAGGUAAGUACUAUUAUUAUUAUUCCUAUUUUACAGUUAAGGAAAAUUGAGUCACAGAGGUUAAAUGACUUGCUGAGAUUCAUACCACUAGUGUCUAAGAUCAGAUUUGAAUACAAAUUUUGACUCUAGGUCCAGUAUUCUAUCUAGCUUCCCUUGACAAUCCAUGUACACAAGAAGCUUACAAUCAAAUGUAGAAGUUUAUAGUUUAAUGGAUAUUGUUUCAUUUUAUUUUCAUAACAGCCCUGCAAAGUAAAUGUUUUUAUUAUCGCUAUUUUGCAGUAGAGAGUCAGAGCCAGUGUCUGAGGCUGGAUUGAAUUCUUCCUAACUUUAUGUUUCUGCUCCAACUCCAAAAGGGACAAAGAAUGUUUAAGGGAAACACUGGGAAUAAAGAAAAGAUGAGGAAAAAGAAUUCUAGAGAUGUAAAGAGAUUUGUCCAACAUCCCACAAGUAAUAAAUGGCAGAAAUGGAAUCUGAAAGCAAAUGAUUCCAAAUCUCUUGAUUUUUCCACUGUCUCUUAUCCCUAUAAAGUUGUUUAUGUAAAUCUGGACUACUGAUUUGUUAAGGUAAAAAUCAAAACUCAUUAAAAGAACAUGAGAAAAAUAUGGGUAGUAAUUUUAUCCUGAGUUUUUAACAAUUAAUUAAUAAUGUAAAAUGAGAAAGUCAAUAGAUGACAACAAUACUGAUGAUAACCACACAAAACUUUUA